ACUGGGGUAGCCCACCGCUAUUCCUUCACAUCUUCCUCCUUUUAAGCAAGGGUUCUCUCUAGCUUUUUACGGAGUCGCGGUAGUGCAGAAGGGCCAUCGAGAAGGUUUUCUUCUUUCUUGUCAGGUCUCGAAUGGUGGGACCUUAAUUAGUGUCAGGAUGAGGUUCUUCUCCUAUUUCUGAUAUGAUUGGUUUCAGCUCAGGUUAGGAUGAGGUUCUCCUUUUGUUCCUAACGGGGCUGCGGGGGCACAUAUGGGCACUGUAUGGCCUCUCCCCCCA
Molecule: long non-coding RNA, 277 nt
Filed under: Elaeis guineensis (African oil palm)
Lineage: Eukaryota; Viridiplantae; Streptophyta; Magnoliopsida; Arecales; Arecaceae
Description: long non-coding RNA (EGUI_LNC044083)
Source: RNAcentral